Molecule: RNA transcript, 2514 nt
Organism: Vigna angularis (adzuki bean)
Lineage: Eukaryota; Viridiplantae; Streptophyta; Magnoliopsida; Fabales; Fabaceae
Gene name: translocon at the outer membrane of chloroplasts 64
Exons: 15
Source: RefSeq, a predicted model, not a curated record
UUUAACAGGGAAGAGAGAUAGAUAGAAGGAAGUCGAGGCGGCGAGAGUAGAGAAUCCUAUCUUCUCCGUGCGUCUUCUUCGUAAAACCAUACACACGCAGUGCUGUGCUUCGGAUGUGGAGUUGAAGCAGAGUAUCGCAUCAAACGAAUCAAUCGAUGGCGACUCAAUCGGCCAACCUAUGGGUUCUGUUGGGGCUGGGUUUAGCGGGAAUUGUUCUCAUCACCAGAAAGCUCAAGAAGUCUGUCAGAGAGGAUUUCGGCGCUUUUCUCGAGAAGCUUCAGCUCCUUCCGCCGCCGCAGCCUGCUCCUCCCAAAGCUCCUCAUCCUCUCACCGCCCUCACUUUCGCACUCUCCGACUUAUUUGACAUCGAAGGACGUGUCUCUACGUUCGGCCAUCCCGAGUGGGCUAGGUCUCACGAGCCCGCUUCUUCCACUUCUCCCGCGGUUUCUGCUCUCGUCGAAGGAGGCGCCACCUGCGUUGCAACUACCGUUGUCGAUGACUUUGCUCUAGGUAUCGGUGGCGAGAAUAGGCAUUAUGGAACACCGACUAAUCCCGCUGCGCCUGCACGAGUACCGGGUGGAUCCUCCAGUGGUGCUGCUGUGGCUGUUGCUGCCAAUUUCGUUGACUUUGCAUUGGGUAUUGAUACUACUGGUGGGGUGAGGGUACCUGCUGGAUUUUGUGGCAUUCUAGGAUUUCGACCCUCACAUGGUGCUGUUUCACAUUUGGGAAUCAUACCUAUCUCAACAAGUCUGGACACUGUUGGUUGGUUUGCAAAGGAUCCCUCUAUAUUGCGUCGAGUUGGCCAUAUACUCUUACAAGCAUCAUUUGUAGUUCAACGCAGUCCUAGGCAAAUAAUUAUAGCUGAUGAUUGUUUUCAGCAUAUAAAUGUUCCUCUUGACAGGAGUUCUCAAGUGGUGGUCAAAGCUACUGAGAAGCUUUUUGGAAGGCAAGUAUUGAAGCACAUAAAUCUUGGGGACUAUAUAAGUUCGAGGAUUCCAAGCUUGAAGGGGUGUUCUGGUCAGAAAACAAACGGUGAAGUGAAAGCUUCUUCACUGAAGUUACUUGCUAACAUUAUGCAAUCCCUACAAAGGCAUGAAUUCAAACAUACACAUGAUGAGUGGAUGAACACUGUAAAACCUGACCUAAGUCCUUCUGUUUCAGUACAAUUGCAUGAAAAAUUUGAGGUAUCCGGUGUAGAGAUUGAAAAUUCCAAAUCCAUUAGAAGUGAGAUGCGUUCGGCUAUAAAUUUGCUUUUGAAGGAUGAAGGAAUUUUGGUUAUCCCCACAGUAGCUGAUCCACCUCCAAAAUUAGGUGGGAAGGAGAUCUUAUCAGAUGAUUAUCAGAGCCGAGCAUUUAGUCUGUUGAGUAUUGCAAGCAUCUCAGGUUGUUGCCAGGUCUCAAUACCAUUGGGAUUUUAUGACAAGUACCCUAUUUCAGUGUCUUUGAUAGCCAGGCAUGGUGGUGAUCGAUUUUUACUUGACACACUACAGACCGUGUAUACCACUCUCCAAGAACUGGCUGAUAUUGCUUCCAAAAGCAAACCAUCUGAAAAUGUUGUCAGUAAAGAGCAGUCUGCUGAGUUCGCUAAAGAGAAGGGAAAUCAAGCAUAUAAAGAUAGGCAGUGGCAGAAAGCCAUUGGAUUUUACACAGAAGCUAUCAAACUCUGUAGUGAUAAUGCAACGUACUAUAGUAACAGGGCUCAAGCGUAUCUAGAACUUGGAAGUUAUCUUCAAGCUGAGGCCGAUUGUACCAAGGCAAUUAGUCUGGACAAAAAGAAUGUGAAGGCCUAUUUUCGUAGAGGUACAUCUAGAGAGAUGCUAGGCUACUGCAAGGAAGCAAUUGACGAUUUUAAGCAUGCUCUUGUACUUGAGCCGACCAACAAAAGGGCAGCUGCAGCGGCUGAUAGGUUGAGGAAGCUAUUCCAGUAGGUACAUAAUUUUGGCAUGGGAUAAGGGUCUUCAAUUCAUUGUUGGUGGUGCUGGUGACCUAUAAGCGCUGAGACGAUUAGAGGAUUGGGUUGAUCUUCCAUCUCACAAUCAAGCUCACUAACACAAUUUACUUCCACAUGUCCAGCAUUAUCCAGACUUAACGGCAAGUUCUCUCUUUCUGAAACAGUUUCUCUGUGAGACGACGUUGAAGCCAAAACUUCAGCUCGCUGCCGGGGCGGAGAGGAUGUACUUCCAGAUGCAAACAACCUUUCAGGCCUUUCUGUUGCAAAGAGAGCCAUGUAUGAGUUUCCAAUAGCUCGGCAUUAUCAAUUACGCACAAAAAAUGUGUUCAGGAAUACUUGAUAAAAGAACUUGAUUCAUAGAUGUGCACCUACCCGUACUAGGUGUAGCGCGCAUCACUGGGCGUACAGGAUGUAUUAAUUGUUCUGAUGGAGGUCCACAGUCCUUGGAGAAGACCUGUGUAACAUAUUAACAAGCUAUGUAUUCCUGAACAUAAGCAUAUGUAUAGUAAAAGGAUUAUACAAUUUUUUCAUCCAAUCAUAAAUUGAUAAAUGUAUCAAAUCUA